RNAcentral lists this ribosomal RNA (497 nucleotides) under uncultured bacterium. Its description in RNAcentral is "partial 16S ribosomal RNA". It matches the Rfam family "Bacterial small subunit ribosomal RNA", at positions 28 to 507 of the family's 1533-position model. The record is from RNAcentral.
GAUGAACGCUGGCGGCGUGCCUAAUACAUGCAAGUCGAGCGAACAGACGAGGAGCUUGCUCCUCUGACGUUAGCGGCGGACGGGUGAGUAACACGUGGAUAACCUACCUAUAAGACUGGGAUAACUUCGGGAAACCGGAGCUAAUACCGGAUAAUAUAUUGAACCGCAUGGUUCAAUAGUGAAAGACGGUUUUGCUGUCACUUAUAGAUGGAUCCGCGCCGCAUUAGCUAGUUGGUAAGGUAACGGCUUACCAAGGCGACGAUGCGUAGCCGACCUGAGAGGGUGAUCGGCCACACUGGAACUGAGACACGGUCCAGACUCCUACGGGAGGCAGCAGUAGGGAAUCUUCCGCAAAGGGCGAAAGCCUGACGGAGCAACGCCGCGUGAGUGAUGAAGGUCUUCGGAUCGUAAAACUCUGUUAUUAGGGAAGAACAAAUGUGUAAGUAACUAUGCACGUAUUGACGGUACCUAAUCAGAAAGCCACGGCUAACUACGUG